Molecule: ribosomal RNA, 253 nt
Filed under: uncultured bacterium
Lineage: Bacteria
Description: partial 16S ribosomal RNA
Rfam family: Bacterial small subunit ribosomal RNA
Source: RNAcentral
UACGAAGGGGGCUAGCGUUGCUCGGAAUCACUGGGCGUAAAGCGCACGUAGGCGGAUUGCUAAGUCAGGGGUGAAAUCCUGGAGCUCAACUCCAGAACUGCCCUUGAUACUGGCGGUCUCGAGUCCGGGAGAGGUGAGUGGAACUGCGAGUGUAGAGGUGAAAUUCGUAGAUAUUCGCAAGAACACCAGUGGCGAAGGCGGCUCACUGGCCCGUAACUGACGCUGAGGCACGAAAGCGUGGGGAGCAAACAGG